Molecule: long non-coding RNA, 323 nt
Organism: Mustela erminea (ermine)
Lineage: Eukaryota; Metazoa; Chordata; Mammalia; Carnivora; Mustelidae
Exons: 4
Source: RefSeq, a predicted model, not a curated record
CUGAGAUCAUGACCUGAGCCAAAGGCAGAGGCUUAACCCACUGAGCCACCCAGGCGCCCCUCAGCUACUUUUUAUACCCGAAAAGUUUAGAGCUAAGAGUGUGCUGACAUCUUCCUACUACUCUACUGCUAAAGAAUUAAAUUUAAUGAAGUGCUACAGGUGAAAUUCUUACCACUAUUGUUAACAAAUUGGUGUCAUAUCCAAAAAUUCGUUACCAAGACUCAUGCCAGGAGCCUUAUUCCAGUGUUUUCUUCUAAGAGUUUCAUGGUCUCAGGUCUUCACAUAGAGAUCACAAGUAGGCAGAGAGGCAGGCAGAGAGAGAG